RNAcentral lists this long non-coding RNA (2168 nucleotides) under Phoenix dactylifera (date palm). RNAcentral describes it as "long non-coding RNA (PDAC_LNC003826)". Lineage: Eukaryota; Viridiplantae; Streptophyta; Magnoliopsida; Arecales; Arecaceae. The record is from RNAcentral.
UAUCAGCAGUACUAUGAUAUUAUUAGUAUAAUAUGGUAAUAAUAGUACAAAGGUACUGUUAUUCUUAUAAAAUUAAAACUAGUGUAUCAUAUUAUAAUGCAUAAUAAUUCAUUUCCAUAUUUUACCAUAUUAUCAUAUAACAAAUAUUCUCCCAUUUAUAUUAUUAUUAUGUUAUUUAUUAUAUUAUAAUUAUAUUUAUAUUACUACAUAAUGCAUUCUAACAGUGUGGUGUUAUCUAAUAUAUGAUAUAGUAUUUUUGACCUCUUGAUAGGAUGGGGGUCUCUAGAUUAUAUAAUUUUUGAAGUAUAAGUAGUUUAGAGAUAGUAGAUCAUAUCCAAUAGCUUAGAUGUGGUAUCCCCAUCAUCUAAUUUAGACUUGAUGGAUCUAAGUGGAUAUCCGCUCGUGUGUAACCAAGUCUUUUUGCAGAUGUAGUACUUCAACAUAAUUCUAUAUAAAUAUUGUGUUCACUGUUUCUGAAGGAGGUACCCAACUUGGUUGCACUUGCAUUUCUCACUUUAUGAAUUUUUGCCAUAUGCAUGUCAAGCUUGAUGAUCAACUUGAAAUGCAUGGAUCAUAUGACAAAAUAAUGAAUGAUUUGCAAGCACACUUCAGUCUUACUGUUGCUAUUAUUGGCACCAUGAGACUCAAACUUUUAGUUUGAUGACAUUAACUUACCUACGAAACGUUCAUGUGACACUCCUAUAGGUUAAAACUAUGUUUGUUUCUUGAUCAUGCCGACCUUAACAAGUGCCAAGAUAAGCAAGUGCACGUGUAGUGACUAACUUAUUGUAGAAGUUGGAACUAACAACCUUCCAGGAAGGCCUCUUCUUUGUUCAUGAUUACUUUACUAUUGUCAACUCGCUAAGAAAGCAAUUUCAAUUUGCGAAUGUGAGGUUAAAAGCCUUAGAUAAGAUUGGUGAUGACCUUGGAGGACAACCACAUCAAAUGUGCAACAUUCAUUCUAACAUAGGCUAAAAUGCAUGAAAAAUUUGAACAUUGCUACAUCCUGUCUGUUGAAAACCUCUAAACCUAAAUGCUCUAACUGAAGCGAGGUAGCGAAGCAGUUCAAGAUUACUGACAAGAGUUUAAGGAUCUCAGCCUUUAGAUGCAGUUCUUUAUGUUCCUGAUCUAGUAGAAUGAGUCAUAUUUUGUGCUAACAGGUAUUGGACUGGUUGUGUGAAACUAGGUUAUUGGAUAUAGGUCAGGUUAUCAAAUUUGAUCAGCAUCAUGACAAUAGAACUGGACCAAACCCUAUAUAGAAAUAUAUGAGAACAACCUGGGAAGUUUUGUUGUCAUUUCGGAAAAGUUGCAAAUUAUCUAUGACUAGCCUACUCUUGCCUACUGUUCCCUACUUGACUCUCUGUAUUCUUCUUCUCCUUGUUUUCACAUUAUAUUUCAUCUUUCUAACUUUCCUUAUAUCAAUUCAUUCCUUAUUCUGCCUAAUUUUCUCUAAUCUUUGUUCGCCUUCUUGUUCAAUUCUUUUGUUCUUUCUUUCUUCAUACAGAUCUUAAAUUGAAUCCAAAUAAGGAAUCAAUGACUUCAUCAGAUCCAUGACUUCACAUAUACAACCUGUCCCCAUAUCCAAAUGCAAUUUAGUCUCAUCAUCUGUUGAAUAAAUCCAUAUCCUUGUUUCUUCAAUGAGCUAUUAAUUUACCACGGCACCUUUUAGCUACUCAAAUUUCAGUGUUGAUCGACUUGAAUACUGUUUCAGAUACUUCAAGGAGUUUUGUUUUGCUUUAGUUCUCAACAGUGAUCACAUUGCUGCUCAAUGCCAGUUUAUUUGUUCUUAAUUUAGUAUAUACAUUGUGAAAUUGGUUGCAUACAGCAUCAAUUCAUGGAAUAUUUUUGUUCUGUCUUCUGUCUCUCAUUGCGUUUAAUAUUAUGGUGUCAAACCAAAAAGAUUCAAUUGAUUCCAUAUAAAGGAAUAGUACUACACCAUUUAUCAACUUAGGAUCAAAACCUAUUGAUCUGAUAUGUAAACAAAUCAUGCCCAGGAGUUCAUGUUUGCAUAUUUUCACUUGAUCAUUGUUAAAUUGAAAGAUGUUGAUGGGUGGUGCCAGUGCUAGUAAUUGUCUCUGGCUGUAGCUGUAAGAUUAGAGUAGCAUGAAGCUCCGACUAGUGGAAAUCUGACACUAGAAUGUGCUUGGUGAAAUAGCAUUGUCCCUUCA